AUUGAACGCUGGCGGCAUGCUUUACACAUGCAAGUCGAACGGCAGCGCGGGGGCAACCCUGGCGGCGAGUGGCGAACGGGUGAGUAAUGCAUCGGAACGUAUCCUGUAAUGGGGGAUAACGUAGCGAAAGUUACGCUAAUACCGCAUACGCUCGAGAGAGGAAAGUGGGGAUCGCAAAGACCUCACGUUAUAGGAGCGUCCGAUGUCCGAUUAGCUAGUUGGUGGGGUAAAGGCCUACCAAGGCGACGAUCGGUAGCUGGUCUGAGAGGAUGAUCAGCCACACUGGGACUGAGACACGGCCCAGACUCCUACGGGAGACAGCAGUGGGGAAUUUUGGACAAUGGGCGAAAGACCUGAUCCAGCCAUGCCGCGUGCGGGAAGAAGGCCU
This 388-nucleotide ribosomal RNA is filed under the name uncultured bacterium. Its description in RNAcentral is "bacterial SSU rRNA". It matches the Rfam family "Bacterial small subunit ribosomal RNA", at positions 30 to 417 of the family's 1533-position model. The record is from RNAcentral.